RNAcentral lists this unclassified non-coding RNA (320 nucleotides) under plant metagenome. RNAcentral describes it as "partial contains 5.8S ribosomal RNA, internal transcribed spacer 2, and large subunit ribosomal RNA". The stretch from base 1 to 105 matches the Rfam family "5.8S ribosomal RNA", at positions 50 to 154 of the family's 154-position model. The record is from RNAcentral.
GAAAUGCGAUAAGUAAUGUGAAUUGCAGAAUUCAGUGAAUCAUCGAAUCUUUGAACGCACAUUGCGCCCGCCAGUAUUCUGGCGGGCAUGCCUGUUCGAGCGUCAUUACAACCCUCAGGCCCCCGGGCCUGGCGUUGGGGAUCGGCGGAAGCCCCCUGCGGGCACAACGCCGUCCCCCAAAUACAGUGGCGGUCCCGCCGCAGCUUCCAUUGCGUAGUAGCUCACACCUCGCAACUGGAGAGCGGCGCGGCCACGCCGUAAAACACCCAACUUCUGAAUGUUGACCUCGAAUCAGGUAGGAAUACCCGCUGAACUUAAGC